UCCAAAUUUUGACAAAAAGUCAUACAAUGAUAUGACGUAAAAAUUGGAGAGCAUGUCGUCCAAAUUUUGAUUGAAGUCAUACUAUGGUAUGUCAUACAAAAUUUGACAAAAAAGUCACAUAGUAUGUUGUACAAAAUUUUACAAAAAAGUCAUUGUAUAGCAUGUCGUACAAAAUUUGAUACAAAAAGUCAUACUUUAGUAUGUCGUCCAAAAUUUGACAAAAAAGUCAUACUAUAGUUUGUCGUCCAAAUUUUGACAAAAAAGUCAUACUAUAGUGUAUCGUACAAAAUUUGACAAAAAAGUCAUAGAAGUAUGUCGUCUAAAUUUUGACAAAAAGGUCAUAGUAUAGCAUGUCGUCCAAAUUUUGACAAAAAAGUCAUACUAUAGUGUAUCAUACAAAAUUUGACAAAAAAGUCAUAGUAGUAUGUCUUCCAAAUUUUGACAAAAAGUCAUACAAUGAUAUGACGUAAAAAUUGGAGAGCAUGUUGUCCAAAUUUUGAUUGAAGUCAUACUAUGGUAUGUCAUACAAAAUUUGACAAAAAAGUCACAUAGUAUGUUGUACAAAAUUUUACAAAAAAGUCAUUGUAUAGCAUGUCGUCCAAAUUUUGACAAAAAAGUCAUAGUAUAGCAUGUCGUCCAAAUUUUGACAAAAAAGUCAUACAAUGAUAUGACGUAAAAAUUGGAGAGCAUGUCGUCCAAAUUUUGGAUUGAAAAGUCAUACUAUGGUAUGUCGUCCAAAAUUUGACAAAAAAGUCAUACUUUAGUAUGUCGUCCAAAUUUUGACAAAAAAGUCAUACUAUAAUAUGUUGUCCAAAUUUUGACAAAAAAGUCAUACUAUAGUGUAUCGUACAAAAUUUGACAAAAAAAGUCAUAGUAGUAUGUCGUCCAAAUGUUGACAAAAAAGUCAUAGUAUAUAGCAUGUCGUCCAAAUUUUGACAAAAAAGUCAUAGUAUAGCAUGUCGUCCAAAUUUUGACAAAAAAGUCAUAGUAUAGCAUGUCGUCCAAAUUUUGACAAAAAAGUCAUAGUAUAGCAUGUCCUCCAAAUUUUGACAAAAAAGUCAUAGUAUAAUAUGACGUCAAAAAUUUGACAAAAAAGUCAUAGUAUAGCAUGUAGUCCAACUUUUGACAAAAAAGUAUAGUAUAGCAUGUCGUCCAAAUUUUGACAAAAAGUCAUAGUAUAGUAUGUCGUCCAAAAUUUGAUAAAAAGUCAUACUACAAUAUGACGUCAAAAACUUGACAAAAAAGUCAUAGUAUAGCAUAUAGUCCAAAUUUUGAUAAAGUCAUACUACAAUAUGACGUCAAAAACUUGACAAAAAAGUCAUAGUAUAGCAUGUAGUCCAAAUUUUGACAAAAAAGUCAUACUACAAUAUGACGUCAAAAACUUGACAAAAAAGUCAUAGUAUAGCAUGUAGUCCAAAUUUUGACAAAAAAAAGUCAUACUAUAAUAUGACGUCUAAAAUUUGACAGUCAUACUAUAGCAUGUCGUAUAAAAUUUGUACGUCCAAAUUUUGAAAAAAGUCAGUAUAGUGUCGUCCAAAUUUUGACAAAAAAGUCAUACUAUAGUUUGUCGUACAAAAUUUGACAAAAAAGUCAUAGAAGUAUGUCGUACAAAAUUUGAUAGAAAGUCAUUCUUUAGUAAGUUGUCCAAACUUUGACAAAAAUGUCAUACUUUAGUAUGUCGUCCAAAAUUUGACAAAAAAGUCAUAGUAUAGCAUGUUGUCCAAAUUUUGACAAAAAAGUCAUAGUAUAGCACGUCGUCCAAAUUUUGACAAAAAAGUCAUACAAUGAUAUGACGUAAAAAUUGGAGAGCAUGUCGUCCAAAUUUUGAUUGAAAAGUCAUACUAUGGUAUGUCGUCCAAAAUUUGACAAAAAAGUCAUUGUAUAGCAUGUCGUCCAAAAUUUGAUACAAAAAGUCAUUCUUUAGUAUGUCGUCCAAAAUUUGACAAAAAAGUCAUACUACAAUAUGACGUCAAAAACUUGACAAAAAAGUCAUACUAUAAUAUGUUGUCCAAAUUUUGACAAAAAAGUCAUACUAUAGUGUAUCGUACAAAAUUUGACAAAAAAAGUCAUAGUAGUAUGUCGUCCAAAUGUUGACAAAAAAGUCAUAGUAUAUAGCAUGUCGUCCAAAUUUUGACAAAAAAGUCAUAGUAUAGCAUGUCGUCCAAAUUUUGACAAAAAAGUCAUAGUAUAGCAUGUCCUCCAAAUUUUGACAAAAAAGUCAUAGUAUAAUAUGACGUCAAAAAUUUGACAAAAAAGUCAUAGUAUAGCAUGUAGUCCAACUUUUGACAAAAAAGUAUAGUAUAGCAUGUCGUCCAAAUUUUGACAAAAAGUCAUAGUAUAGUAUGUCGUCCAAAAUUUGAUAAAAAGUCAUACUACAAUAUGACGUCAAAAACUUGACAAAAAAGUCAUAGUAUAGCAUAUAGUCCAAAUUUUGAUAAAGUCAUACUACAAUAUGACGUCAAAAACUUGACAAAAAAGUCAUAGUAUAGCAUGUAGUCCAAAUUUUGACAAAAAAGUCAUACUACAAUAUGACGUCAAAAACUUGACAAAAAAGUCAUAGUAUAGCAUGUAGUCCAAAUUUUGACAAAAAAAUCAUACUACAAUAUGACGUCAAAAACUUGACAAAAAAGUCAUAGUAUAGCAUGUAGUCCUAAUUUUGACAAAAAAAGUCAUACUAUAAUAUGACGUCUGAAAUUUGACAGUCAUACUAUAGCAUGUCGUAUAAAAUUUGUACGUCCAAAUUUUGAAAAAAGUCAGUAUAGUGUCGUCCAAAUUUUGACAAAAAAGUCAUACUAUAGUUUGUCGUACAAAAUUUGACAAAAAAGUCAUAGAAGUAUGUCGUACAAAAUUUGAUAGAAAGUCAUUCUUUAGUAAGUUGUCCAAACUUUGACAAAAAUGUCAUACUUUAGUAUGUCGUCCAAAAUUUGACAAUAAAGUCAUAGUAUAGCAUGUCGUCCAAAUUUUGACAAAAAAGUCAUAGUAUAGCACGUCGUCCAAAUUUUGACAAAAAGUCAUACAAUGAUAUGACGUAAAAAUUGGAGAGCAUGUCGUCCAAAUUUUGAUUGAAAAGUCAUACUAUGGUAUGUCGUCCAAAAUUUUACAAAAAAGUCAUUGUAUAGCAUGUCGUCCAAAAUUUGAUACAAAAAGUCAUUCUUUAGUAUGUCGUCCAAAAUUUGACAAAAAAGUCAUACUUUAGUAUGUCGUCCAAACGUUGACAAAAAAGUCAUACUAUAGUAUGUCGUACAACAUUUGACAAAAGUCAUAGUACAAUUUGGACAACCCAAAUUUUGACAAAAAAGUCAUACUAUAAUAUGACGUCUAAAAUUUGACAAAAAGUCAUACUUUAGCAUGUCGUCCAAAGUUUGACAAAAAGUCCUACCAUAAUACGACGUCAAAAAUUUGACAAAAAAUUCAUAGUAUAGUAUGUCGUUAAAUAUUUGACAAAACAAGUUUGAUGCACUUAUUUCAAUCAAGGAAACUUAAGUUAUUCACUCUUUUAAGUCCAUCUGUUUACAUAAUUUGGCUCACAUGAAAAAUGGGUUCAAACUAAAGGUGCUAUCUUCUAUGUUGUGAAUCAGAUCCAGAUGUAAAAGCUGAAAUCUUUUGUCUUAUAUUCAUCUUUUGAUGUCAAACCCAAAUAUUUUCAGUUUAUGGUGAAAAUAAAGGAAUUGGCCUCCCUGUUCAAAUUCUA
Molecule: long non-coding RNA, 3691 nt
Organism: Solea solea (common sole)
Lineage: Eukaryota; Metazoa; Chordata; Actinopteri; Pleuronectiformes; Soleidae
Exons: 2
Source: RefSeq, a predicted model, not a curated record